This 401-nucleotide ribosomal RNA is filed under the name uncultured bacterium. RNAcentral's name for it is "bacterial SSU rRNA". It matches the Rfam family "Bacterial small subunit ribosomal RNA", at positions 362 to 758 of the family's 1533-position model. The record is from RNAcentral.
UAUUGCGCAAUGGGGCAACCCUGACGCAGCCAUGCCGCGUGAAUGAAGAAGGCCUUCGGGUUGUAAAGUUCUUUCGGUGAUGAGGAAGGAGGAUGUUUAAAUAGGGCAUUCAAUUGACGUUAAUCACAGAAGAAGCACCGGCUAACUCCGUGCCAGCAGCCGCGGUAAUACGGAGGGUGCGAGCGUUAAUCGGAAUAACUGGGCGUAAAGGGCACGCAGGCGGAUAAUUAAGUGAGAUGUGAAAUCCCCGAGCUUAACUUGGGAAUUGCAUUUCAUACUGGUUAUCUAGAGUCUUGUAGAGAGGGGUAGAAUUCCACGUGUAGCGGUGAAAUGCGUAGAGAUGUGGAGGAAUACCGGAGGCGAAGGCGGCCCCUGGACAAAGACUGACGCUCAUUGCGAAA